RNAcentral lists this ribosomal RNA (492 nucleotides) under uncultured bacterium. RNAcentral describes it as "partial 16S ribosomal RNA". It matches the Rfam family "Bacterial small subunit ribosomal RNA", at positions 29 to 507 of the family's 1533-position model. The record is from RNAcentral.
AGUGAACGCUGGCGGUAGGCCUAACACAUGCAAGCCGAACGGCAGCACAGUAAGAGCUUGCUCUUACGGGUGGCGAGUGGCGGAUGGGUGAGGAAUACAUCGGAAUCUACUUUUUCGUGGGGGAUAACGUAGGGAAACUUACGCUAAUACCGCAUACGACCUACGGGUGAAAGCAGGGGAUCUUCGGACCUUGCGCGAUUGAAUGAGCCGAUGUCGGAUUAGCUAGUUGGCGGGGUAAAGGCCCACCAAGGCGACGAUCCGUAGCUGGUCUGAGAGGAUGAUCGGCCACACUGGAACUGAGACACGGUCCAGACUCCUACGGGAGGCAGCAGUGGGGAAUAUUGGGCAAUGGGCGCAAGCCUGAUCCAGCCAUACCGCGUGGGUGAAGAAGGCCUUCGGUUUGUAAAGCCCUUUUGUUGGGAAAGAACAGCAGCAGGUUAAUACCCCGCUGUUCUGACGGUACCCAAAGAAUAAGCACCGGCUAACUUCGUG